RNAcentral lists this ribosomal RNA (588 nucleotides) under uncultured bacterium. Its description in RNAcentral is "partial 16S ribosomal RNA". It matches the Rfam family "Bacterial small subunit ribosomal RNA", at positions 355 to 1376 of the family's 1533-position model. The record is from RNAcentral.
UGGGGAAUUUUGGACAAUGGGCGCAAGCCUGAUCCAGCCAUGCCGCGUGCGGGAAGAAGGCCUUCGGGUUGUAAACCGCUUUUGUCAGGGAAGAAAUCUUCUGAGUUAAUACCUCGGGAGGAUGACGGUACCUGAAGAAUAAGCACCGGCUAACUACGUGCCAGCAGCCGCGGUAAUACGUAGGGUGCAAGCGUUAAUCGGAAUUACUGGGCGUAAAGCGUGCGCAGGCGGUUUUGUAAGACAGAGGUGAAAUCCCCGGGCUCAACCUGGGAACUGCCUUUGUGACUGCAAGGCUUGAGUGCGGCAGAGGGGGAUGGAAUUCCGCGUGUAGCAGUGAAAUGCGUAGAUAUGCGGAGGAACACCGAUGGCGAAGGCAAUCCCCUGGGCCUGCACUGACGCUCAUGCACGAAAGCGUGGGGAGCAAAACAGGAUUAGAUACCCUGGUAGUCCACGCCCUAAACGAUGUCAACUGGUUGUUGGGAAGGUUCCUCCUCAGUAACGUAGCUAACGCGUGAAAGUUGACCGCCUGGGGAGUACGGCCGCAAGGUUGAAACUCAAAUGAAUUGACGGGGUCAUAGCUGUUUCCUG